RNAcentral lists this non-coding RNA (23 nucleotides) under Cricetulus griseus (Chinese hamster). Lineage: Eukaryota; Metazoa; Chordata; Mammalia; Rodentia; Cricetidae. The record is from RNAcentral.
UUGGGUGUAUAGGGAUUAAGAAC